RNAcentral lists this long non-coding RNA (266 nucleotides) under Salvia miltiorrhiza (redroot sage). RNAcentral describes it as "long non-coding RNA (SMIL_LNC003570)". Lineage: Eukaryota; Viridiplantae; Streptophyta; Magnoliopsida; Lamiales; Lamiaceae. The record is from RNAcentral.
AAAAAAGUUAAAGUUUAUGUAUUAAUUGAUUAAAAAGUAUUAUUGUUUAAAAAUCAAAUUUUAAAUAUACUUUGUGUAUUUAAAAGUAAUUAAUCUUAAUGUAUUAAUAGUUGAAGAUUAAAAGUUAAUAUUAUCGUAAGCUAUACUCACUCCGUCCACGAAAGAAUUUCAUAUUUUUCCUUUUUGGGACAUUUACAGAUGAACUUCAUACCUAUUUUUGGACUACACCCACCACUCUCAAUACUAAUUAAAAUAACUUUUCACCC